RNAcentral lists this ribosomal RNA (603 nucleotides) under Nesterenkonia sp. Al-Dhabi-30. Its description in RNAcentral is "bacterial SSU rRNA". It matches the Rfam family "Bacterial small subunit ribosomal RNA", at positions 69 to 688 of the family's 1533-position model. The record is from RNAcentral. Lineage: Bacteria; Bacillati; Actinomycetota; Actinomycetes; Micrococcales; Micrococcaceae.
AAGCUUCCUGCUUGCAGGAAGUGGAUUAGUGGCGAACGGGUGAGUAUCACGUGAGCAACCUGCCCUUGACUCUGGGAUAAGCCUGGGAAACUGGGUCUAAUACCGGAUAUAACCUCUUACCGCAUGGUGAGUGGUGGAAAGCUUUUGCGGUCUUGGAUGGGCUCGCGGCCUAUCAGCUUGACGGUGAGGUAAUGGCUCACCGUGGCGAUGACGGGUAGCCGGCCUGAGAGGGUGACCGGCCACACUGGGACUGAGACACGGCCCAGACUCCUACGGGAGGCAGCAGUGGGGAAUAUUGCACAAUGGGCGAAAGCCUGAUGCAGCGACGCCGCGUGCGGGAUGACGGCCUUCGGGUUGUAAACCGCUUUCAGCAGGGAAGAAGCGCAAGUGACGGUACCUGCAGAAGAAGCGCCGGCUAACUACGUGCCAGCAGCCGCGGUAAUACGUAGGGCGCGAGCGUUAUCCGGAAUUAUUGGGCGUAAAGAGCUCGUACGCGGUUUGCCGCGUCUGCUGUGAAAGCCCGGGGCUUACUCCGGGUGUGCAGUGGUACGGCAGACUAGAGUGCAGUAGGGGAGACUGGAUUCCUGGUGUAGCGGUGAAUUG